AAGGUUUGGUCCUAGCCUUGAACUCAGUUCUUACUUAAUAUACACAUGCAAGUCUCCGCAUCCCUGUGAAAACGCCCUCAUCUUCCCCACUAGGGAACAGGAGCUGGUAUCAGGCACAACUUUUUUGCCCAUAACACCUAGCCUCGCCACACCCACAAGGGAAUUCAGCAGUGAUAAACAUUGAGCAUAAGCGCUAGCUUGACUCAGUUAAAUUAAACAGAGCCGGCCAAUCUGGUGCCAGCCGCCGCGGUUACACCACUGUGGCUCAAAUUGAUUUCUUUCGGCGUAAAGCGUGAUUAAAGCCUAAAAUUUUUUGGAAUUAAACUGAAACUAAGCUGUGACACGCUUGUUACUCAAGAAGCCCAAAAACGAAAGUUAUUCCAAUUUUUUCAACUUGAAUUCACGACAACUAGGAAACAAACUGGGAUUAGAUACCCCACUAUGCCUAGUCGUAAACUUUAACCUACCCCCCCCCCUUCAUCGCCCGGGAACUACGAGCUAAGCUUAAAACCCAAAGGACUUGACGGUACCCCAUAUCCCCCUAGAGGAGCCUGUCCUAUAAUCGAUAACCCCCGUUUAACCUCACCAUUUUUUGCCAGUCAGCCUGUAUACCUCCGUCGUCAGCUUACCACGUGAGCGUCAGUGAGCCUAAUGUUCUUCCAACUACACGUCAGGUCAAGGUGCAACAUAUAAAAUGGGAAGAGAUGGGCUACACUUUCUACGAUAGAAUAAACGAAAGACUAAAUGAAACCCAGUCAGAAGGUGGAUUUAGCAGUAAAAUGAAACUAGAGUGUUCACUUAAAUACGGCACUGGGGUGUGUACACACCGCCCGUCACCCUCCUCAUCUCUUCAUAAAAGUUUUUAACACCUUUCCAGAGACUCAGAAGAGGCAAGUCGUAACACGGUAAGUAUACCGGAAGGUGUGCUUGGAAC
This 934-nucleotide non-coding RNA is filed under the name Epipedobates sp. QCAZ25305. RNAcentral describes it as "12S ribosomal RNA". It matches the Rfam family "Bacterial small subunit ribosomal RNA". Lineage: Eukaryota; Metazoa; Chordata; Amphibia; Anura; Dendrobatidae. The record is from RNAcentral.